GUCGGCGUGGUGACGCUUGCCUAUAAUCCUAGCAGCUUGGGAGGCUGAGACAGGAGGAUCACGAAUUCAAAGACAGCCUCAGCAACGUCAAAGCACUAAGCAACUCAGUGAGAUCCUGUCUCUA
This 124-nucleotide small RNA is filed under the name Marmota monax (woodchuck). Lineage: Eukaryota; Metazoa; Chordata; Mammalia; Rodentia; Sciuridae. The record is from RNAcentral.